AACCGCGUAGCUCAGUUGGCAGAGCAUUGGGCUGGUAUUCCAGAGGCCGUAGGUUCGAUUCCCACCGUGGUCA
This 73-nucleotide transfer RNA is filed under the name Paramuricea clavata. It matches the Rfam family "tRNA". Rfam says of the family: Transfer RNA (tRNA) molecules are approximately 80 nucleotides in length. Their secondary structure includes four short double-helical elements and three loops (D, anti-codon, and T loops). The record is from Rfam by way of RNAcentral. Lineage: Eukaryota; Metazoa; Cnidaria; Anthozoa; Malacalcyonacea; Plexauridae.